Molecule: long non-coding RNA, 1075 nt
Organism: Pyrus x bretschneideri (Chinese white pear)
Lineage: Eukaryota; Viridiplantae; Streptophyta; Magnoliopsida; Rosales; Rosaceae
Exons: 2
Source: RefSeq, a predicted model, not a curated record
UCACGCCUGAUUUGUGUCCCUGGUCUCUCUCGCCCUUUUCUCUCAGUUCUCUCUUCUUCCUCACUCUUCCUUAUCACUCCCUUUGACUCUCUCUCCCUGCACACCCUCAUCUCCCUCAUCAUCAAUCACCACAACAACAACAAAACAUCAUCACCUUCACCCUUGUGUUCUCAAAAACGAAGAAAGAACACCCCAAACCCCUCUCUUCCAUUCGGCCGGUACUGUUCAUCAUCUUCUCCAUCGUGUUUCGUAUUUUUCCGACGUUGAAAAUAACUCGGAGUAGCCUUUCCAAAUUUUCCGGGAGCACCGCCCCUUUGGAGGCAAUUUCCGGCCAAACCACUGUGAGUUGGAUAUCGUGCAAGGUAUUAAUCUCUUCAUCUCGCUGAGUACUACAACUUUCCUUUUUGUUUCACCCAAUUUCGUUGAGUAUCGAAGAAGUUAUGGGCGUUUGAAGUUUGCCCAGAAACCGGCCAAAACCUUGGCCUGAAAAUGGAUCAACCCGACCCAUUAACCCAUGCUCCAACCCAAUUACCCAAGCCCAAGUCUGAAAUCCAAACCCAGGCCUUUGGGCCGGAUCACUAAGCCCAAGCCCAUUUCUUUUUAGUUUUGUUUUAUUUUUAUUCCUAUUUAAAUUAAAGGUUUUUGGGCUGUUUCCUUUAGGGCAUUCGGCCCAUUAACUCUAAACCCAUUUAUUUAAACCCUAAAACCCAUUAGAUCCAAACCUUUUAAAACCCAUUGACAAACACAACGGUAACAUUAGGUUGGUCUUCGUUGUAUUCAUAAAACUUGUUUGUAUUUUCGCUUUAACAUUAGAUGUGGGGUGAAUGGAGUUUGAAAGAUAACGUAGUUAUUACGCGGCUUGAAGCAUUACAAAAUUUCUCCAACAAUAAUUGUAGAUACUCAAAUCAUUGCAAUCUGGGUUUGAUCAUCAUUGUUCAUUCCUAUCCAGCAACCAUUGAAGCAAGUUUUCAAGGGGAUUUUGUACUACCUCUAAAGCUAGCUACUGGUACAGUAGAUUGUAAGCUGGUAAAUCAUGUAUUCUUUGAGUAUCUUCUAAAGACAACUCCCUUUCCAA